This 301-nucleotide ribosomal RNA is filed under the name Klebsiella pneumoniae. Its description in RNAcentral is "bacterial LSU rRNA". It matches the Rfam family "Bacterial large subunit ribosomal RNA", at positions 208 to 547 of the family's 2925-position model. Lineage: Bacteria; Pseudomonadati; Pseudomonadota; Gammaproteobacteria; Enterobacterales; Enterobacteriaceae. The record is from RNAcentral.
ACCCCGAGGAAAAGAAAUCAACCGAGAUUCCCCCAGUAGCGGCGAGCGAACGGGGAGCAGCCCAGAGUCUGAAUCAGCUUGUGUGUUAGUGGAACGGUCUGGAAAGUCCGACGGUACAGGGUGAUAGUCCCGUACACCAAAAUGCACAGGCUGUGAACUCGAAGAGUAGGGCGGGACACGUGGUAUCCUGUCUGAAUAUGGGGGGACCAUCCUCCAAGGCUAAAUACUCCUGACUGACCGAUAGUGAACCAGUACCGUGAGGGAAAGGCGAAAAGAACCCCGGCGAGGGGAGUGAAAAAGA